Molecule: ribosomal RNA, 762 nt
Filed under: uncultured bacterium
Lineage: Bacteria
Description: bacterial SSU rRNA
Rfam family: Bacterial small subunit ribosomal RNA
Source: RNAcentral
UUCGCCCUUAGAGUUUGAUCCUGGCUCAGAGCGAACGCUGGCGGCAGGCUUAACACAUGCAAGUCGAGCGGGCGUAGCAAUACGUCAGCGGCAGACGGGUGAGUAACGCGUGGGAACGUACCUUUUGGUUCGGAACAACACAGGGAAACUUGUGCUAAUACCGGAUAAGCCCUUACGGGGAAAGAUUUAUCGCCGAAAGAUCGGCCCGCGUCUGAUUAGCUAGUUGGUGAGGUAACGGCUCACCAAGGCGACGAUCAGUAGCUGGUCUGAGAGGAUGAUCAGCCACAUUGGGACUGAGACACGGCCCAAACUCCUACGGGAGGCAGCAGUGGGGAAUAUUGGACAAUGGGGGCAACCCUGAUCCAGCCAUGCCGCGUGAGUGAUGAAGGCCCUAGGGUUGUAAAGCUCUUUUGUGCGGGAAGAUAAUGACGGUACCGCAAGAAUAAGCCCCGGCUAACUUCGUGCCAGCAGCCGCGGUAAUACGAAGGGGGCUAGCGUUGCUCGGAAUCACUGGGCGUAAAGGGUGCGUAGGCGGAUCUUUAAGUCAGAGGUGAAAGCCUGGAGCUCAACUCCAGAACUGCCUUUGAUACUGGGGAUCUUGAGUUCGGGAGAGGUGAGUGGAACUGUGAGUGUAGAGGUGAAAUUCGUAGAUAUUCGCAAGAACACCAGUGGCGAAGGCGGCUCACUGGCCCGAUACUGACGCUGAGGCACGAAAGCGUGGGGAGCAAACAGGAUUAGAUACCCUGGUAGUCCACGCCGUAA